GCGUCGGUGGUUCAGUGGUAGAAUACUCGCCUGCCACGCGGGUGACCCGGGUUCGAUUCCCGGCCGAGGCA
Molecule: transfer RNA, 71 nt
Filed under: Rhipicephalus microplus (southern cattle tick)
Lineage: Eukaryota; Metazoa; Arthropoda; Arachnida; Ixodida; Ixodidae
Description: tRNA-Gly
Rfam family: tRNA
About the family: Transfer RNA (tRNA) molecules are approximately 80 nucleotides in length.
Source: Rfam by way of RNAcentral